GUGAGGAAUAUUGGUCAAUGGGCGCUAGCCUGAACCAGCCAAGUAGCGUGAAGGAUGAAGGCUCUAUGGGUCGUAAACUUCUUUUAUAUAAGAAUAAAGUGCAGUAUGUAUACUGUUUUGUAUGUAUUAUAUGAAUAAGGAUCGGCUAACUCCGUGCCAGCAGCCGCGGUAAUACGGAGGAUCCGAGCGUUAUCCGGAUUUAUUGGGUUUAAAGGGAGCGUAGGUGGACUGGUAAGUCAGUUGUGAAAGUUUGCGGCUCAACCGUAAAAUUGCAGUUGAUACUGUCAGUCUUGAGUACAGUAGAGGUGGGCGGAAUUCGUGGUGUAGCGGUGAAAUGCUUAGAUAUCACGAAGAACUCCGAUUGCGAAGGCAGCUCACUGGACUGCAACUGACACUGAUGCUCGAAAGUGUGGGUAUCAAACAGGAUUAGAAACCCCAGUAGUCCC
This 446-nucleotide ribosomal RNA is filed under the name uncultured bacterium. RNAcentral describes it as "bacterial SSU rRNA". It matches the Rfam family "Bacterial small subunit ribosomal RNA", at positions 354 to 797 of the family's 1533-position model. The record is from RNAcentral.